CCAAUAGCGUAUAUUAAAGUUGUUGCAGUUAAAAAGCUCGUAGUUGAACCUCGGGAUCUACCCAUUGGUCAGGCUUAAUUGUCUGUACUGGUGAGAUGGAUCUCUACCUUCUGAGGAACUUUCAUGCCAUUUAUUUGGUGUGAUGGGAAAUCAGGACUGUUACUUUGAAAAAAUUAGAGUGUUUAAAGCAGACUAUCGUCUGAAUACAUUAGCAUGGAAU
RNAcentral lists this ribosomal RNA (220 nucleotides) under uncultured Diversispora. RNAcentral describes it as "partial small subunit ribosomal RNA". It matches the Rfam family "Eukaryotic small subunit ribosomal RNA", at positions 591 to 815 of the family's 1831-position model. Lineage: Eukaryota; Fungi; Glomeromycota; Glomeromycetes; Diversisporales; Diversisporaceae. The record is from RNAcentral.